ACGUUACGUGACAUUUUAACAAAAUAAAAGUUAACUGUAAGUAGAUUAUUUUAGAAAGUGGAGAUAUGUAAGUUUACAUUUAUGUACAUUGGUUUUCCCGUUUGAAUGGUUUCACACUAGUAAUUUUUGGGGGCCCUUUAUAGCUUGCUGUUCGGUGUGAGCCAAUGCUCCGUGUUGAAGGCCGUACCUUGACCUAUAAUGGUUUACUUUCAUAAAUUGUUACUUGGAUGGAGAGUUGUCUCAUUGGCACUCAUACCACAUCUUCCUAUAUAUAUUUUAUUUAAAAAUAUUCAAGCUAAAAUAGAGAUUGAAAUUAAUCUUUUAGAAGAAAAAUCCUGAAUGAGGUGACAGGGUUUGGAACGAUUGAUUCAACGAUAUUGCGACCUAAAAUAAUAAUGUUAAAACUUUCAACAGAUAUCCUUUUUUUGUAAGUAUAUUAUUCUUCCGUGAAAAAAGGAAAAGUGUUAUUAUAAUCGACAAUUAUUUCCUGGUAUUCACUCAACACCAUAAUAUUCAACAAUUAUAAAUAUGGUGUAUAAACAAUUAUAAAUAUGAUGUAUAAGAGAAGUAAUAAGUAAGUCGACCGAAACUGUGUAUGCACAAAUGCACUGUAUUUUACAUUUGAAGUUUCCGUAACUGUGAGUAGACUAACUUGCUAGAAGACUUGAAAUACAUAAACGACAAUGGAAAUAUAGGGGAAAUGAAUAAUGCUUCUAAAGGACCUUCAGUUACACUGUAAAAAAUGUUGAAUGUACCUCUUCUCUGAUAGAGCUGCGUUUACUUACAGAACUUCCUCCAAUGAUUUCAUGCUCCCUUGAUAGGUAUACAUUUGUACAAUCUUGUCCAGUUGGUUGCUGUGGAAACAGUUGUUGCCCUGAAGACGAAUUGUUUGGAGGUGAGUUAACAGGGAUUAUAACUGGAUCGCUUACGUUCUUGUUGUUUAUCAUAAUAACUCUGACACUAGUUUGGUAUAUAUCAGAUGCUAGGACCAGAGGUAGAUGGAAAAAUAUUUCUAUAGUGUGAUUGAAACAAGGCGACCGACGACAAAAUAGUUGAGCAUUUUCUUCCGCCAUAAUGAUGUUCACCACGAAACAAGGUGUCAGCUUAUGAUACUUGAUAAUUCUUUCAACAGUUAUAAAGUCCAAAGUGUAAAAGUGUAAUGAAAUUAAGUGUAUCAUAGCACAGCUUUGAUUGAAAAUAUCAGACAAACAUUCUGGUUAGAGGAUGAAAAUAUCAUUAAUCAAAAGUAAUUAAAUGACUAAGCAGAGAAAUAAUUUUCUUUUCAUGACUAAUAUCCUUUCAUGUACUUACUAUGUAGCACGUAAAAUUCAGAAAAAAACGAUUUACUGGAAGAUUUGCGCUUGCAAGAUUUAUGGUUAGGCGCAGGGAGAGAUAAAAAAAAAUAUAUAGACAGAAAGCAGGUUCAUUAAAACAAAUUCAAAGACAAAAGAACACAAAGUAAUCGCAGUUACUGAUAGCUAUUUCCAGGCUCAUUAUAACUAGAAAAUAAAUAAAUCAAGUUUGACUUUAAUAUCAAUCAAUACACAUCAUGCAAACAAAAGAAGUCUUAAACAGGCUGAGAGAAGCAUGUGCUUUUGCGAUGACAAAUAUAAGUACUAAGUAUUGACGGGAUGUAAGCCAAUAGGCGUUCAAAACGAUAUGAUAAUGCAUAUUAAGGUAGAUUCACUGUAUACCGCCAUCUUGGAUUGUACAAUAUCAGUACACAAUCGGUCUAUAGUUCUUUGCCUAAAUCUUCAAAUUUUGAGACAGAUUUGCAAUUUAUCUGUAAGACUGCUUAUUUGUAUAAAGAAAAAUGUGUGAUUCAUUGCAUUAUUCAAAAUUUGUAUACAAAACCAAAUAUUUAUGUUUUUACAAUCAAUUUUUCAACUGGCCAUUUAAGGGGAGAUAACUCUUAUUGCAAAAAAAAUUAUACAAGUAUAAAAAAAAUUCUAUCUGAGGAAAUAUAUACCGAUGAUCCACCUUAAGUAAUGAUUUAAUGUAUCCAAAAACAUCAAUGUUGGUAAGUAUAAUUCGUUAUUCUUAUAUAACAUAUUGAAUCAGUCAUGUUUAUCUAAAGAAUCUAUAUUUUCUAAUCACAGAAUUAUUCCAUUACAUCAUAAUGAGAUAAAACUUAUGUUUUUCUCAUCUUUUAAUACAUAAGUCACCUGAAUUUUUGUCAGACAAUACUUGUUUUGGAUAAAAUAUUAUAACUGUACGUCAUAAAUGGUAUAUCCUGUGUUUGAUUGAGAUCCUCCGCGUAAUUUAAAAUACGCGUAUUUUAAUAGCAAACAGGAUCCAUGUCAAUAAUGAUGUAAUAAAAUGUUAUUUGAUAACUGA
Molecule: long non-coding RNA, 2337 nt
Organism: Mytilus californianus (California mussel)
Lineage: Eukaryota; Metazoa; Mollusca; Bivalvia; Mytilida; Mytilidae
Exons: 3
Source: RefSeq, a predicted model, not a curated record